GAUGAACGCUGGCGGUCUGCUUAACACAUGCAAGUCGAACGAGUGGCGGACGGGUGAGUAACGCGUGAGAAUCUGCCUUCAGUUGGGGACAACAGUUGGAAACGACUGCUAAUACCCAAUGGGAUGAGCUCGCGUCUGAUUAGCUAGUUGGAGUGGUAAUGGCACACCAAGGCGACGAUCAGUAGCUGGUCUGAGAGGAUGAUCAGCCACACUGGGACUGAGACACGGCCCAGACUCCUACGGGGGGCAGCAGUUGGGAAUUUUCCGCAAUGGGCGCAAGCCUGACGGAGCAAGACCGCGUGAUGGAGGAAGGCCUUUGGGUUGUAAACCUCUUUUAUCAGGGAUGACGGUACCUGAUGAAUCAGCAUCGGCUAACUCCGUGCCAGCAGCCGCGGUAAUACGGAGGAUGCAAGCGUUAUCCGGAUUUAUUGGGCGUAAAGCGUCCGCAGGUGGUUUUUCAAGUCUGCUGUUAAAGCGCGAGGCUUAACCUCGUAACGGCGGUGGAAACUGAGAGACUAGAGUAUGGUAGGGGUAGCGGGAAUUCCCAGUGUAGCGGUGAAAUGCGUAGAUAUUGGGAAGAACACCAGCGGCGAAAGCGCGCUACUGGGCCAUAACUGACACUCAUGGACGAAAGCUAGGGGAGCGAAAGGGAUUAGAUACCCCUGUAGUCCUAGCUGUAAACGAUGGAUACUAGGUGUUGGUGCCGUAGCUAACGCGUUAAGUA
Molecule: ribosomal RNA, 724 nt
Filed under: uncultured cyanobacterium
Lineage: Bacteria; Bacillati; Cyanobacteriota
Description: bacterial SSU rRNA
Rfam family: Bacterial small subunit ribosomal RNA
Source: RNAcentral